Molecule: ribosomal RNA, 496 nt
Filed under: uncultured bacterium
Lineage: Bacteria
Description: partial 16S ribosomal RNA
Rfam family: Bacterial small subunit ribosomal RNA
Source: RNAcentral
GAUGAACGCUGGCGGCGUGCCUAAUACAUGCAAGUCGAGCGAACGGACGAGAAGCUUGCUUCUCUGAUGUUAGCGGCGGACGGGUGAGUAACACGUGGAUAACCUACCUAUAAGACUGGGAUAACUUCGGGAAACCGGAGCUAAUACCGGAUGAUAUUUUGAACCGCAUGGUUCAAAAGUGAAAGACGGUCUUGCUGUCACUUAUAGAUGGAUCCGCGCUGCAUUAGCUAGUUGGUAAGGUAACGGCUUACCAAGGCAACGAUGCAUAGCCGACCUGAGAGGGUGAUCGGCCACACUGGAACUGAGACACGGUCCAGACUCCUACGGGAGGCAGCAGUAGGGAAUCUUACGCAAUGGCGAAAGCCUGACGGAGCAACGCCGCGUGAGUGAUGAAGGUCUUCGGAUCGUAAAACUCUGUUAUUAGGGAAGAACAUAUGUGUAAGUAACUGUGCACAUCUUGACGGUACCUAAUCAGAAAGCCACGGCUAACUACGUG